RNAcentral lists this long non-coding RNA (408 nucleotides) under Lactuca sativa (garden lettuce). RNAcentral describes it as "long non-coding RNA (LSAT_LNC005212)". The record is from RNAcentral. Lineage: Eukaryota; Viridiplantae; Streptophyta; Magnoliopsida; Asterales; Asteraceae.
AGAUAAUAAAAGGCAUUGUUUUGUUUCAGGUGGGUCUUAUUCAAUAAAAUCCCCAUGUUUAACAAAAGCAGCAAUCAUGGAUAGAAACAUACAAAGAGCAGUGAACAGAAGAAGGUUAUGUCUUAUAAUAAACAAACAGGAAAAGCAGAAAUACAGAAAGCUUAUUGGAUGGCAGAAGUAGGAAGUGUUUUACUUAUUACUUGGUCCACCAGUGAAGGAAGUCCUUACGCCUGUUGAUCUUCUUCUGCAGCUGAAGAAGGCCGUACAAGAGGGCCUCGGCUGUGGGGGGGCAGCCAGGGACAUAGAUGUCGACGGGGACAAUCCUAUCGCAGCCACGCACAACAGAGUAAGAGUAGUGAUAGUAUCCCCCUCCAUUUGCACAGCUUCCCAUCGAUAUCACCCACCGUG